AUAGGAAAAUCCGAAAUUCCGUUAAUCUGAGGAAAGCGACGAGUUUGUCUUCGGUCAGUCAAGUAAUGUAUGCUAUACCGCCAAGAAAUAACCUCUAAGGAGAUUUUUAAAUGACCGUACCAUAAACCGACACAGGUAGGUGAGGAGAAUAUCCAAAGGCGCUCGAGAGAACUCUCGUUAAGGAACUCGGCAAAUUAACCCCGUAACUUCGGGAGAAGGGGAGCUUGAUUAGUGUGAAAACAUCUUUUUUAACCAAAAGCUUGUUUAGCAUGAAAAAGCCGCAGAGAAGUGGCCCAAGCGACUGUUUAUCAAAAACACAGCGCUCUGCUAAGUCGCUAAGACGAUGUAUAAGGCGUGACGCCUGCCCGGUGCUGGAAGGUUAAGGAAGGGGGUUAGGACGCAAGUCUGAAGCUCUUGACUGAAGCCCCAGUAAACGGCGGCCGUAACUAUAACGGUCCUAAGGUAGCGAAAUUCCUUGUCGGGUAAGUUCCGACCUGCACGAAUGGCGUAACGACUUGGGCACUGUCUCAACGAGAGACUCGGUGAAAUAGUAAUUCUGGUGAAGAUGCCAGAUACCCGCAGCUAGACAGAAAGACCCUGUGAACCUUUACUGUAACUUCAUAUUGAGUUUGAAUGAAUUAUGUACAGGAUAGAUGGGAGACUGUGAAGUGGGAGCGUUAGCUCUCAUGGAGUCGUCCUUGGGAUACCAUCCUUAAUUCACUUAGAUUCUAACCCUAUACCGUAGAUCCGGUUAGGGAACAGUGUGUGGUGGGCAGUUUGACUGGGGCGGUCACCUCCCAAAAGGUAACGGAGGUGUUCAAAGGUUCUCUCAGCACGGUUGGUAAUCGUGCGUGGAGUGUAAAGGUAUAAGAGAGCUUGACUGCGAGACCGACGGGUCGAGCAGGGACGAAAGUCGGACUUAGUGAUCCGGUGGUUCUGUAUGGAAGGGCCAUCGCUCAACGGAUAAAAGGUACUCCGGGGAUAACAGGCUGAUCCUAUCCAAGAGCUCACAUCGACGAUAGGGUUUGGCACCUCGAUGUCGGCUCAUCGCAUCCUGGGGCUGUAGAAGGUCCCAAGGGUUCGGCUGUUCGCCGAUUAAAGCGGUACGCGAGCUGGGUUCAGAACGUCGUGAGACAGUUCGGUCCCUAUCUGCUGCGGGCGUAGGAUAUUUGAGGGGAUCUGACCUUAGUACGAGAGGACCGGGUCGGACAAACCUCUGGUGUACCAGUUGUCGCGCCAGCGGCACAGCUGGGUAGCUAUGUUCGGAAGGGACAACCGCUGAAAGCAUCUAAGCGGGAAGCCUACCCCAAGAUAAGAUAUCCCUGUAGUGAGUUAGUUUGGAAGCAGAACUUCGGUUUUGUGGAAGAAUUAAUGAG
This 1376-nucleotide ribosomal RNA is filed under the name metagenome. RNAcentral describes it as "bacterial LSU rRNA". It matches the Rfam family "Bacterial large subunit ribosomal RNA", at positions 1532 to 2925 of the family's 2925-position model. The record is from RNAcentral.